This 497-nucleotide ribosomal RNA is filed under the name uncultured bacterium. RNAcentral's name for it is "partial 16S ribosomal RNA". It matches the Rfam family "Bacterial small subunit ribosomal RNA", at positions 28 to 507 of the family's 1533-position model. The record is from RNAcentral.
GACGAACGCUGGCGGCGUGCCUAAUACAUGCAAGUAGAACGCUGAAGAGAGGAGCUUGCUCUUCUUGGAUGAGUUGCGAACGGGUGAGUAACGCGUAGGUAACCUGCCUUGUAGCGGGGGAUAACUAUUGGAAACGAUAGCUAAUACCGCAUAACAAUGGAUGACACAUGUCAUUUAUUUGAAAGGGGCAAUUGCUCCACUACAAGAUGGACCUGCGUUGUAUUAGCUAGUAGGUGAGGUAAUGGCUCACCUAGGCGACGAUACAUAGCCGACCUGAGAGGGUGGACGGGCAAACUGGGACUGAGACACGGCCCAGGAUCCUACGGGGGGCAGCAGUAGGGAAUCUUCGGCAAUGGGGGCAACCCUGACCGAGCAACGCCGCGUGAGUGAAGAAGGUUUUCGGAUCGUAAAGCUCUGUUGUAAGUCAAGAACGGGUGUGAGAGUGGAAAGUUCACACUGUGACGGUAGCUUACCAGAAAGGGACGGCUAACUACGUG